RNAcentral lists this ribosomal RNA (775 nucleotides) under uncultured Neocallimastigales. Its description in RNAcentral is "partial large subunit ribosomal RNA". It matches the Rfam family "Eukaryotic large subunit ribosomal RNA", at positions 24 to 620 of the family's 3401-position model. The record is from RNAcentral. Lineage: Eukaryota; Fungi; Neocallimastigomycota; Neocallimastigomycetes; Neocallimastigales.
UAUGUGAUCGUCUCUCGCAUAUCAAUAAGCGGAGGAAAAGAAACUAACAAGGAUUCCCUUAGUAACGGCGAGUGAAGCGGGAAGAGCUCAAAUUUGAAAUCUUCAAGGUUUUACCUUGACGAAUUGUAGUUUAAAGAAGUGUUUUCUGUUGAAGUUUUGGUAAAAGUUCUUUGGAAUAGGACAUCAUAGAGGGUGAGAAUCCCGUAUUUGACCAUUAUUUUCAGCUGUGUGAUACACUUUCAAAGAGUCGGAUUGUUUGGGAAUGCAGUCCAAAAUGGGUGGUAAAUUUCAUCUAAAGCUAAAUAUUGGCGAGAGACCGAUAGCGAACAAGUACCGUGAGGGAAAGAUGAAAAGAACUUUGAAAAGAGAGUUAAACAGUACGUGAAAUUGUCAAAAGGGAAGCGUUUGACACCAGUGUUGUUUUCUCGAAAAUCAAUUAAAAAGAGUUAGAUUUUGUUGUGUAUUGACCUUAACAGCUUGCAUUUCAAUUUUCUUGCUUUUUUUAAUGCACUUUUCGUUUAACAAGUCAACAUCAGUUUCUUUUUGUUGUAAAAAGGUCAUUGGAAGGUGGCUUUCUUUUCGGAGAAAGUGUUUAUAGCCUUUGACUCCUGCAAUCGGAGAGACUGAGGUCUGCAGCGUAGAUCCUUCGGGGUUAGAUACAUUUGUGCUAAGUUAUAGCUUUUUAUAGACAACUUGUUGACUAUGAUUAGUCUUGUAGCUUACUCGCUUAUGCUAUUUUACCUACGCUUAGGAUGUUGAAGAUGUAGCACAUCAU